Molecule: ribosomal RNA, 264 nt
Filed under: uncultured bacterium
Lineage: Bacteria
Description: partial 16S ribosomal RNA
Rfam family: Bacterial small subunit ribosomal RNA
Source: RNAcentral
UACAGAGGGUGCGAGCGUUAAUCGGAAUUACUGGGCGUAAAGCGCACGUAGUCGGCUUGUCAAGUCGGGUGUGAAAUCCCCGGGCUCAACCUGGGAACUGCAUCCAAAACUACUGAGCUAGAGUACGGUAGAGGGUAGUGGAAUUUCCUGUGUAGCGGUGAAAUGCGUAGAUAUAGGAAGGAACACCAGUGGCGAAGGCGACUACCUGGACUGAUACUGACACUGAGGUGCGAAAGCGUGGGGAGCAAACAGGAUUAGAUACCC